This 331-nucleotide ribosomal RNA is filed under the name uncultured bacterium. RNAcentral's name for it is "bacterial SSU rRNA". It matches the Rfam family "Bacterial small subunit ribosomal RNA", at positions 568 to 898 of the family's 1533-position model. The record is from RNAcentral.
CGCGUAGGCGGAUGACAUAGUCAGAUGUGAAAUUCCUGGGCUCAACCUGGGGACUGCAUUUGAUACGUGUUGUCUUGAGUGUGGAAGAGGGUCGUGGAAUUCCCAGUGUAGAGGUGAAAUUCGUAGAUAUUGGGAAGAACACCGGUGGCGAAGGCGGCGACCUGGCCCAUAACUGACGCUGAGGCGCGAAAGCGUGGGGAGCAAACAGGAUUAGAUACCCUGGUAGUCCACGCUGUAAACGAUGUGCGCUGGAUGUUGGGUGACCUAGUCACUCAGUGUCGUAGCUAACGCGAUAAGCGCACCGCCUGGGGAGUACGGCCGCAAGGUUGAA